GAUGAACGCUGGCGGCGUGCUUAACACAUGCAAGUCGAACGAGAAGUGAAGACGGAAACCUUCGGCGGAAGGCUUUAUUUCGAGUGGCGGACGGGUGAGUAACGCGUGGGUAACCUGCCUCAUACAGGGGGAUAACAGUUGGAAACGACUGUUAAUACCGCAUAAGACCACAGCACCGCAUGGUGCGGGGGUAAAAACUCCGGUGGUAUGAGAUGGACCCGCGUUCGAUUAGCCAGUUGGCGGGGUAACGGCCCACCAAAGCGACGAUCGAUAGCUGAUCUGAGAGGAUGACCGGCCACAUUGGGACUGAGACACGGCCCAAACUCCUACGGGAGGCAGCAGUGGGGAAUAUUGCACAAUGGGGGAAACCCUGAUGCAGCGACGCCGCGUGAGUGAAGAAGUAUUUCGGUAUGUAAAGCUCUAUCAGCAGGGAAGAAAAUGACGGUACCUGAGGAAGAAGCCCCGGCUAACUACGUG
This 477-nucleotide ribosomal RNA is filed under the name uncultured bacterium. RNAcentral's name for it is "partial 16S ribosomal RNA". It matches the Rfam family "Bacterial small subunit ribosomal RNA", at positions 28 to 507 of the family's 1533-position model. The record is from RNAcentral.